Non-coding RNA from Equus caballus (horse), 7485 nucleotides. NCBI's taxonomy places the organism in Eukaryota, Metazoa, Chordata, Mammalia, Perissodactyla, Equidae. The record is from RefSeq and is a predicted model, not a curated record.
CAGCAUGGCUUGACGAGCAGUGUGUGGGUCCGCAACUGGGGUCUGAAACCAUGAACCCCGGGCCGCCAAAGUGGAGCACGCGAACUUAACCACUAUGCCAGCCCGGUUUCUGUUUAAUGUACCACUUUUAUUCACUGGUUAGCUAACUAGUAGUGUGUUAUGAUUACAUUUUUUUUUCCUGUGCAACUUUUUGUUUUUCCUGAAGUUAACGCAUUUUCCACAGGAUUGUAAAACCUCUUUAUUUUCCAUUUGUUCAACUACAGUCGGGUUUUAUGUUCUAUUUUUGUUGCCUCCUGAAGAUACAUCUUUGGGGCCCUAUCCUUUUCUUCCAGGCUGGCUGGUUACUGGCUGGGUGUGCAGUAUCUCUGUCCUUCCGGGGCUUCCAUCUGCUUCUCUUGGUCCCAUCGUUUGUGUCCUGGAGCUUUUGUGUCUUAUUCUCUCAUUUUGGUGAGCCCCUCUUCUAGGGGCGUUCCGUGAAAAGGUCCUUGGGAGGUGACAUUUUGCGAUCUCCCAUGUCAGAAAGCAUCUGUUGCCUCCUGUUUCACUGAUGGUUUGGCUGAGUUUCCCAUUCUAGGUUCAAACCAACUUUCCCCUCGGAAUUCUUACAGCAUCUCUUAGUUUUCAGUGUUGCUGAGGAGAAGUCACUCCAAUUGUCAGUCCAUUGACAAUUCUUUUCUCUGCAAGAGGUUGGGGUUUUCUCGUUAUUUCUGGAGUUUUCUAAUUUCCCUCUGAUAAUCUUUGAUGUGUCUUUUUUUUCGUUCAUUGUGGUAAUUAUUCAUGUCCUUCAUCUUGGAAUGUUCUCCAGUUCUUCAGUGUUUUGUUUCCUUCAUAAUUUCCUCCCAUUUCCUCGCUUCCUCCUCCUCCUUUCUCUCUUUCUGGAAUAUCUAUUAUUCAAAUGUUGGACCUCAGACAUUUAUCCUCCUAUUUUCUCUGUUUUACGUCUUUUUGCUUUGGGGGUUCUGAGGGAUUUCCUUAACUAUCUUCCAACCCUUCUGUUAACCUUUUUUUUUGCUGUCAUUUUUAAUUUCCAAAAGAUUUUAUGUAUUCUCUGGUCCUUUUGUUUUUAAGGACCCUGUUCUUGGUUCAUUGAUUCAGUAUGUUAUCUUUCUCGGGGUAUUCUUUUUAAUAUUUUUUAAUGUUGUUCCAUCCCUUUAUUCGACCCUCUGCGUUGUCCCUUUCUUUCAAGUUCUUCAGUUUUCAGUUUUUUUGAUUUGGUCUCUCUUUCAUUUUCAGGGAUUCUCAAUUAUCUGAUAAUCCUUUGUUAGGAAAAUAUAACAUUAAAAUUUGUGGGAUGCAGGUUAAGCGUUACUUAUAGGCAAAUCUAUAGUCUUAAGUGCAAGGCAAGGAAAGAGUGUAAGGAUUGACUGGGAGAAAUAAAAUGAAUUCACAGUCUAUGUGAUUGUCCACUUAGAAAAUGCAAAAGGAUCCACAGACAAACCAGUCCUUUUAGUGGCUUUAGUGAUGUCACUGGAGGUGAGGUCGAUGUACAAAACUCAACUGUAUUUGUGUGAGCUAGCAACACAUGAGAUAGUGUUUAAUGAAGAUACCAUUUACAGUAUAAAAAAAGCCAUUAGAUGCCUAGGAAUUAGUUUAAUGAAAGAUGUGCAAGAGCUCUACCCAGAAAGACUGCAAAACAUUCCUGAAAAUUUUUAAAGAUCUCUAUAAGAGUAAUAUACCAUGUUUAUGAUUUAAAACAAUGUUGUUCAACUGUCAAUUCUUGUCAAAUUGAUACAGAUCCAAGCAGUCCCGAUCAAGGUGCCAAUGUUUUGGGUGAGGAGGUAAGGUGGGGGAUUAGCAACUUUUAUGGGAACGUAGAGAGCCAAAAAUAGCAAAGAACAUCUUAAAGCAAAAGAGCAAAGUUAGAAGACUGCACCACCAGAUAGCAAGCCUUGUUACAGAGCUCCUGCAAUUGAAAGAGUGAUGCUAGCACAAGGACGGACAAAGAGAUCCAUGGAAUACUGUCCAGAAAUAGACUCGAGCACAUAGAAAUGUGUUGUUCAUGACAAAGGUGUCACUGCAAUGCAAUAAAGAAAGGGUGGUCUUUUCAAUAAAUGUGGAAUCAAUUGGAUAUCCACAUUAUAGGGGAGAAAGAAGGAAUCUUGAUCCAUCACACCAUGCACAAACAUUAAUUCCAGAUGGAUGUUUAGGUUUCUAAAUAUGAAAGGUAAAACUAAGCUUCUAGAAGACAGCAUGGGAGAAUCUUCCUGAUCUUGCUAGACAAAGACUUAGUAAAUAAGAGAUGCAAAAAAGCACUACCUGUAAAGGAAGAUUGAUUAAUUGGGCUGCAUUAAUAUUAGGAACUUCUAUCAUCAAAAUACACCAGUAGGAGAGUCAGAGGACAAUCCACAGAGUUUGUAAUACAUGCAUCUGACAAAGUAUAUCCUGAGUACAUAAAUAACUUCUACAUAUCAGUAAAAAAAGAUAAUCCAGUUACAAAAGGACAACUUGAACACAAGCUCCACAAAAGAAUAUAUCCAAACUAAAAGUGCUCAAUAUCGUGUUAUCCAAGGAAUGCAAAUUAAACAAUGUUUAGCUUAUUAGACAUGUUUAAUUUAUUAGUAACUUAUUAAUUUAUUAACCCUAGAUACACAAAAAAUGGCUAAAACAAAACAAAAAUCCAGCAACAACAAAAGAAACCAAAUGAACUCCGGAUGAUGCCAAGUGCUGUAAGUCUGUGAAGCACCUGGCCGCAUUUAUCACUUAAUGCUUCUGCUCUUUUGGAAAUUGCCAGUGAUGUCCUAAUUUACACGGGCCAAAUGUCGUCUGCCUUUAACUUGAUCUCUGCAGUUCUUUCCCUCACCUGUUCUCUGUUUGUAAAAUCACACUUUUAAAUUUCUCCUCUUGGUCCACUUCUUAGGCUCCUUUGCCAACUUUUCUUUCUCUGGUAAUGCCCUGUCCUACAGGUGCCAUCCUUAGUCCUCUCUUCUGUCCAGUCGCUCAGGAAACUCCUGCCUUCCCGUGGCUUCAUCUAUCACAUCCAUUCUCCUGACUCCCAAAUCUUCACGUAGGCCCAUAUUUCCUGUCUGAGUUCUGCUACGACCGUAAACCAUGCGGGCGGAAGGAGUAUGAUCUGACAAGGCUCCGAGGAGUGCAGGGAAGAGCAAGUGUUUGGCUGAAGUCUACAAUGGGUAUGUUAGGUGGGACCAUCGUGUGGAAAACUUGGUCAAGACAAAUUGGAGAUGGGGUCUGGGGGGAAGGGAACUUCAAAUGUAACAGGUCCUGAUUUGAGAGGGGGUGGAGAGGGAUGCAUACAGGAGAGUGGCAAAAAAGUUUCUGGGCAAAAAAUUGGUUUGGUUAGAGACAUGUCGAGCUGAUAAAAACAGAGGGCUUCCCAGAAGUAACCGAUUUCUCUCAAGUAGCCAACUCACCCAGCCACUCACUCCCCGACCCCCACAAUCCUCAGAGGGGUUGUAGUAGAAUUCGAUGUGUUAAAAUUGAAACGUUGCUUUGAGUCAUCCGUUUGUCACCUGGUGAGCCUGAUUUGAAAAUUAUCGUCCCAGCCUUUUUAUUUCCACGGAUUAACACUAGGUGGCAAACUACACAUAGGGAAUUAUCUUAUGUUAAGCAUUUUGACUUCUGAAACAUUUUCUUUUCCCUCCAAAUAACCUCAUUAGCCAAUAUUUGUUUAAUAAUUAUUGAGUAUUAUUAAUAUUAAGUAUUAAUAUUUAAUAAGUAUUAAGACAUGGGUACUUUUUCAUAAAUUGAAUUAGUCUAUAUUGUGGGUCAACUCUUACUCCCUUCAGCAGAGCCGUAGAUACCUAGUAUAUAUUAUGGCCUGGAUUUUAGUCAUCCGCCAGUUUUAGGUUUAAAAAGAGGUUCUUUAAUUAUAAACAUAAAUAAAAUGAAAUGUUUUUCUUUUGUUAUCAUACUUGAGAACACCUCUACCAGUAAAUUUCAACGUCCCUGUCAGUUGACCCACUAAUGGAAAAUGAUUACAAAUGUCCUGCUUGCCCUCCUUAGGGAGCUCGUCCAUCCAUCUCCAGCCCUUGGACAGUAUUAUCUGCCCACUUUUCCUGUUCCUUAGAAACAGCAUUGGCCUGGAUGCUGGAGAUACAGAGGUGGGUCGGAUAUGUGAGGAGCAACAUAAGAGAAGUAUGUUAAUGCGGUCAUUGAUUCAGGACCUAACAAGCGGCAAAGGAUCUUCACAUUCCUGACCUCCAAGUGGCAGCAAUGGGUCCAGCCCCCUCUAAGGUGACAUACCCAGGGCAGCCAGGACAGGGUACUCUGGAGCUGCUUGGGUUUUUCCAGGAAGCACUGGGGUUCUCCAUUCUAAAUUUCCUUCACUACUUUAGGGUUUCAAGUGUUAAACAAUUAUUUGACCUUGCACAUGAUGAAAGAUGACUGGAGAGAUUUAGAGGCUCAAGGAAUCUUUCUAAAUGCCGAUACAUGAUCACCAGCCUAAUGGCUCCCCAGUUGUCUUGGGAUACAGUCUAAAUUCCUUACUGUGGAUUAGAAGACCAUUGAAGAGCUUGCCCCCUCUCCGUCUUUCUCAACCGUAUCACCCUCAGUUUCACGUACACCAUGUAGAGGUCAGAUUGAAUUUCUCUCAGCUUCAGCAACAUACCUUCUUCUGUCUCAUGAAUGUUCACAAGAUGGGAAGUUUUUUGUUAACAUUCUCUCUCACCUCCCAUUUGGAACCCCAUCUCAAUCCAUGCUUAACCCACCUUCACUUGUUUAACUUCUACGUACAUUUUAGGUUUUAGCUUCCAUGUGACUUCCUCCAAGAAGCCUUCCCUGACCACCCAAGUAUGGUUUUGUAUCCUCUCUGGAGUGUUCUACAUUUCCUCGUUCAGACUACUUACCACACCAUGUUAUAAUCACCUCUUUUCUUGCCUGUAAAGAUGAGACUGCAAACACCGUGGAGGCAGGCUUGCUUAUUCUUGUAUUCUCACUCUCUGGCUCAGGGCUUGGCAAAUAUCAAGUCCUCUACAGACGUUUAUUGAAUAAGUGAGUGAGGCCUCAAUAUCUCAUAGCAUCCCUUUUAUGCCAUUUUGUACCAAGGUUUGAGAGCAGUAACUUUAUGCACACCUGCAGAUAAUAAAUUGUCUAAAACCAGCACAAAUUGUCCCUUUCCUAGAAAACCGAAAGACCAUCUUAUCUAGUUCUCGAUUGAUUUAGGAAACAAAAUAUCCAUGAAGCUCCAAAGUCUUGUGGAUUCACUGUAGAUUCAAGGUGACAAGAUGUGAGAUGUGAAAAAUCUAAUGAAGUUCGUCUCUUUUACUACAAAAUUGAAAUGAACGAAACUUUACACGAUCAGGCAGAGUUCGUGUGUAUUGUGACCUUUACGACAUUGAGAAAUUUGGACGAUUUGGGUCCACGAGAACAGGUUUAGGUCUUCCCAAAGAGCAGUUCCAUAAGGAUGAGCUCUUAAUUUUUCUUAAUUUUUGGCUCCGUGUAAAGAUAACGGGCUUCAGUAGAUAGAAAAUCCUUUUUAGUUCCUAUCUUGGGUCGAGCUGAACUAGCAAAAAUCAGAUUCCUGGAUAACAUUGUUAUGUUUUUUGUCCUCUCUUUACCAAAUCCCAACAUAAUUACUUUCACAUAACUAUGUGAAAGCCUAUUUUAAAGUUAUAAGCAAUGGCCCAUGAACCUCUGAGACUCAUCUUGAAUGUCUGUAAGAAUGUUUUGUAUUUCACAAGAUUCUCUUUGUCAUUCUCUAGAAUAAAUUCCUCUAUGAUCUUAAUAUCAAAAGUAAUUGUUCUUGUCUUGAGAAUUUGGUUGGUUUUUAUCUGAGAGAUCAAUGGGAAUGUGUUAAAAUUACAAAUUCUAGGAUCUCAGCCCAGAUCUACAGAAUUUGAAAUUCAGUGAGGCCUGAGUGAUUCUACUUUUUAUAAGCUCUUCAGAUGACUCAGAUGCAAAUAAAAGAUUGGGAAUCCCUCUGAUAGACGAGAAUUAUAUAAGUGACUAGAUUUCUCUUCAAAUUCAGCCACUGGAUAGAUUAGAGGCAGAUUUAUGGUUCACCGGUAGCACGUUGUAUAAGAUCAUCAUGUUAUGACUUUUAAUUCUUUUCCUGUCUCCCCACGUUUUCAUCUUUGGUUUAUUUUUAUUUCUUUUUUCACCCCACUUCUAAUUUAAAUUCUUGUCAUAUGACAUAUCCACAUAAGCCAUCUUAAAUCUUUUUGGAACAUAACAAGAAACAAACAGCUAGAUAGCCAGACAAAUACAUAAAUAAUUAUUGCACUCAGCUUCUGUAGAGAAAAAGUAUUCUUGGCAAUUGGUGCAGAGUAAGCACUUUUGGCUGACCUAAAGAACGCCCUGUGUGUGUGGGUGUGUGAGUGUGUGUGGGCGUGCAUGCUGGAGGAAAGGGGAGAGGAGGUCAUGCAUGCGGAUUAGGAAACUAUUGUACUUCUGUUUAUCAGUGAAAGAUUUUUUAAUUUUUCUGUCAAAAAGCAAUUGUAUUUAGUUGUUGCUCUUCAUUAAAUUCACGGUUUAUGUACCAGCCAGAAAACUCAUGUCUGAAACAGUGACGUGGAUGUUUUGAUGGCACUGCCCUUUCCCCUCCAUUGUGCCCUUUCUUACUUGGCCCCAAACCUUUCCACCUUAAUCCUUGUCUUGUCUUUGGUUCCUUGCAAGCUAAUCCCCAUGAAGGCAUUAAUUUAUAGGAGCUUUACAGAGUGAUUCUCAGAAUUACUGGGAGUGAAGAAGGCCCCUAGAUUGUCUUGAUACGUUUCAGUAAGAGGAAAUGUAAUCUCUGCUCUUCUAUCAGUAGUACAACCACCAUGCUUUUCAAAAUCACUAUAAAUGGCGUUAAGCCUGGGAAUUAUACCACACGGGUAACUGUAUGGUUUAUGUAUCUGAAUGACGGGUCAGGUGUCUGUGGCUGGGAGAACCAGAUUUUCUUCUCUUGUUUUACUCUCUUCAGUCAUUCCCAGGAGGAAGCUCCAGUGAGACCACGGUUUGAGACAUGUCAGCUAAAUGACCUCAGGGAGUCAUUACGGGCAUGCAGCCUGACACCAGCUCUCUGUCCUAGAAACCAGGCUUGAGGCUCUUGGGCUUCACUGCAGUUGCUGGAUUUUCGCUUUUUGGAUAUCUACUUGUCACCUGGCUCCGUCUGUUCUAAAAUAUAAGUGACAGCUCAGCUUCAACAUAGCAAGAUCAACUUUAUAAUAAUUGGUUGCAAAAUUCAGGAGAGCUGACAAGUGAGAAACUGUUUAAAGACUUGAUGUCUUCUGAAGAACCAGAUCUUGUUCAUUUUAGACUCUUUCCUUCACCUACUGUUUAAGAAAACGGAGAGAACAUACAACUCUAGGAUAAUUCAAUUGAGCCAACCAGAGAUGUAAUCACCACUCCCCCAACCAGACCAGGCAUCACCAUGAGAGCUACAGCUAUGACCUUUGCCUUAUUUUUAAUGCUAACAUCGCUCCAGGAGGACCUUACGCCUUAAGACCUUAACCUGCAGUGCAUGUGGAAGGAUGUUUUCCAACUGAGCCUGCGCAAGCGAAUGCCCACCUCUCCUUUUGAAUAUUCAUUCCCCAUCCCAAAUAAAUG